ACGGAAGGCAGCAGUGAGGAAUAUUGGUCAAUGGGCGGAAGCCUGAACCAGCCAAGUCGCGUGAAGGAUGAAGGUAUUAUGUAUUGUAAACUUCUUUAGCAGCAGAGUAAUAAGGGGGUCGUGACCCCCAAUGCAAGUAUGCUGAAAAUAAGGAUCGGCUAACUCCGUGCCAGCAGCCGCGGUAAUACGGAGGAUGCAAGCGUUAUCCGGAUUUAUUGGGUUUAAAGGGUGCGUAGGCGGAUGAUUAAGUCAGUGGUGAAAGGUCCCGGCUCAACCGGGGAGCUGCCAUUGAUACUGGUUGUCUUGAAUGCGGAUGCCGUGGGAGGAAUGUGUGGUGUAGCGGUGAAAUGCAUAGAUAUCACACAGAACACCGAUUGCGAAGGCAUCUCACGAAUCCGUUAUUGACGCUGAGGCACGAAAGCGUGGGGAUCAAACAGGAUUAGAUACCCUGGUA
Molecule: ribosomal RNA, 454 nt
Filed under: uncultured bacterium
Lineage: Bacteria
Description: partial 16S ribosomal RNA
Rfam family: Bacterial small subunit ribosomal RNA
Source: RNAcentral